ACUUGACCUCUAACCC
RNAcentral lists this ribosomal RNA (16 nucleotides) under Candida tropicalis. RNAcentral's name for it is "partial 28S ribosomal RNA". Lineage: Eukaryota; Fungi; Ascomycota; Pichiomycetes; Serinales; Debaryomycetaceae. The record is from RNAcentral.